AUACGGAGGGUGCAAGCGUUGUUCGGAAUUACUGGGCGUAAAGCGCGCGUAGGUGGUCUGUUAUGUCAGAUGUGAAAGUCCACGGCUCAACCGUGGAAGUGCAUUUGAAACUGGCAGACUUGAGUACUGGAGGGGGUAGUGGAAUUCCCGGUGUAGAGGUGAAAUUCGUAGAUAUCGGGAGGAAUACCGGUGGCGAAGGCGACUACCUGGCCAGAUACUGACACUGAGGUGCGAAAGCGUGGGGAGCGAACAGGAUUAGAUACCCGGGUAGUCC
RNAcentral lists this ribosomal RNA (274 nucleotides) under uncultured bacterium. RNAcentral describes it as "partial 16S ribosomal RNA". It matches the Rfam family "Bacterial small subunit ribosomal RNA", at positions 523 to 796 of the family's 1533-position model. The record is from RNAcentral.